This 20-nucleotide transfer RNA is filed under the name Chamaecrista nictitans var. jaliscensis. Its description in RNAcentral is "partial tRNA-Glu". The record is from RNAcentral. RNAcentral also lists the same sequence under 1 other name. Lineage: Eukaryota; Viridiplantae; Streptophyta; Magnoliopsida; Fabales; Fabaceae.
GCCCCCAUCGUCUAGUGGUU